AGCCCGUUAAUGGGUGAUGGCGUGCCUUUUGUAGAAUGAACCGGCGAGUUACGAUUUGAUGCAAGGUUAAGCAGUAAAUGUGGAGCCGUAGCGAAAGCGAGUCUGAAUAGGGCGUUUAGUAUUUGGUCGUAGACCCGAAACCAGGUGAUCUACCCUUGGUCAGGUUGAAGUUCAGGUAACACUGAAUGGAGGACCGAACCGACUUACGUUGAAAAGUGAGCGGAUGAACUGAGGGUAGCGGAGAAAUUCCAAUCGAACCUGGAGAUAGCUGGUUCUCUCCGAAAUAGCUUUAGGGCUAGCCUCAAGUGAUGAUUAUUGGAGGUAGAGCACUGUUUGGACGAGGGGCCCCUCUCGGGUUACCGAAUUCAGACAAACUCCGAAUGCCAAUUAAUUUAACUUGGGAGUCAGAACAUGGGUGAUAAGGUCCGUGUUCGAAAGGGAAACAGCCCAGACCACCAGCUAAGGUCCCAAAAUAUAUGUUAAGUGGAAAAGGAUGUGGCGUUGCCCAGACAACUAGGAUGUUGGCUUAGAAGCAGCCAUCAUUUAAAGAGUGCGUAAUAGCUCACUAGUCGAGUGACACUGCGCCGAAAAUGUACCGGGGCUAAACAUAUUACCGAAGCUGUGGAUUGUCCUUUGGACAAUGGUAGGAGAGCGUUCUAAGGGCGUUGAAGCAUGAUCGUAAGGACAUGUGGAGCGCUUAGAAGUGAGAAUGCCGGUGUGAGUAGCGAAAGACGGGUGAGAAUCCCGUCCACCGAUUGACUAAGGUUUCCAGAGGAAGGCUCGUCCGCUCUGGGUUAGUCGGGUCCUAAGCUGAGGCCGACAGGCGUAGGCGAUGGAUAACAGGUUGAUAUUCCUGUACCACCUAUAAUCGUUUUAAUCGAUGGGGGGACGCAGUAGGAUAGGCGAAGCGUGCGAUUGGAUUGCACGUCUAAGCAGUAAGGCUGAGUAUUAGGCAAAUCCGGUACUCAUUAAGGCUGAGCUGUGAUGGGGAGAAGACAUUGUGUCUUCGAGUCGUUGAUUUCACACUGCCGAGAAAAGCCUCUAGAUAGAAAAUAGGUGCCCGUACCGCAAACCGACACAGGUAGUCAAGAUGAGAAUUCUAAGGUGAGCGAGCGAACUCUCGUUAAGGAACUCGGCAAAAUGACCCCGUAACUUCGGGAGAAGGGGUGCUCUUUAGGGUUAACGCCCAGAAGAGCCGCAGUGAAUAGGCCCAAGCGACUGUUUAUCAAAAACACAGGUCUCUGCUAAACCGUAAGGUGAUGUAUAGGGGCUGACGCCUGCCCGGUGCUGGAAGGUUAAGAGGAGUGGUUAGCUUCUGCGAAGCUACGAAUCGAAGCCCCAGUAAACGGCGGCCGUAACUAUAACGGUCCUAAGGUAGCGAAAUUCCUUGUCGGGUAAGUUCCGACCCGCACGAAAGGCGUAACGAUUUGGGCACUGUCUCAACGAGAGACUCGGUGAAAUCAUAGUACCUGUGAAGAUGCAGGUUACCCGCGACAGGACGGAAAGACCCCGUGGAGCUUUACUGUAGCCUGAUAUUGAAAUUCGGCACAGCUUGUACAGGAUAGGUAGGAGCCUUUGAAACGUGAGCGCUAGCUUACGUGGAGGCGCUGGUGGGAUACUACCCUAGCUGUGUUGGCUUUCUAACCCGCACCACUUAUCGUGGUGGGAGACAGUGUCAGGCGGGCAGUUUGACUGGGGCGGUCGCCUCCUAAAAGGUAACGGAGGCGCUCAAAGGUUCCCUCAGAAUGGUUGGAAAUCAUUCAUAGAGUGUAAAGGCAUAAGGGAGCUUGACUGCGAGACCUACAAGUCGAGCAGGGUCGAAAGACGGACUUAGUGAUCCGGUGGUUCCGCAUGGAAGGGCCAUCGCUCAACGGAUAAAAGCUACCCCGGGGAUAACAGGCUUAUCUCCCCCAAGAGUUCACAUCGACGGGGAGGUUUGGCACCUCGAUGUCGGCUCAUCGCAUCCUGGGGCUGUAGUCGGUCCCAAGGGUUGGGCUGUUCGCCCAUUAAAGCGGUACGCGAGCUGGGUUCAGAACGUCGUGAGACAGUUCGGUCCCUAUCCGUCGUGGGCGUAGGAAAUUUGAGAGGAGCUGUCCUUAGUACGAGAGGACCGGGAUGGACAUACCUCUGGUGUACCAGUUGUCGUGCCAACGGCAUAGCUGGGUAGCUAUGUGUGGACGGGAUAAGUGCUGAAAGCAUCUAAGCAUGAAGCCCCCCUCAAGAUGAGAUUUCCCAACUUCGGUUAUAAGAUCCCUCAAAGAUGAUGAGGUUAAUAGGUUCGAGGUGGAAGCAUGGUGACAUGUGGAGCUGACGAAUACUAA
RNAcentral lists this ribosomal RNA (2321 nucleotides) under Staphylococcus aureus. Its description in RNAcentral is "partial 23S ribosomal RNA". It matches the Rfam family "Bacterial large subunit ribosomal RNA", at positions 578 to 2904 of the family's 2925-position model. Lineage: Bacteria; Bacillati; Bacillota; Bacilli; Caryophanales; Staphylococcaceae. The record is from RNAcentral.